Molecule: ribosomal RNA, 375 nt
Filed under: uncultured eukaryote
Lineage: Eukaryota
Description: partial 18S ribosomal RNA
Rfam family: Eukaryotic small subunit ribosomal RNA
Source: RNAcentral
CAAUAGCGUAUAUUUAAGUUGUUGCAGUUAAAAAGCUCGUAGUUGGAUUUCGGUUAAGAGCGACCGGUCCGCCGUUUGGUGUGCACUGGUUGGUUUUAACUUCCUGUAGAGGACGUGCUCUGGGUUUAACGACCUGGACUCGGAGUCUACGUGGUUACUUUGAAAAAAUUAGAGUGUUCAAAGCGGGCUUACGCUUGAAUAUUUCAGCAUGGAAUAACACUAUAGGACUCCUGUCCUAUUUCGUUGGUCUCGGGACGGGAGUAAUGAUUAAGAGGAACAGUUGGGGUCAUUCGUAUUUCAUUGUCAGAGGUGAAAUUCUUGGAUUUAUGAAAGACGAACUUCUGCGAAAGCAUUUGCCAAGGAUGUUUUCAUUAA